RNAcentral lists this ribosomal RNA (253 nucleotides) under uncultured bacterium. RNAcentral's name for it is "partial 16S ribosomal RNA". It matches the Rfam family "Bacterial small subunit ribosomal RNA", at positions 524 to 776 of the family's 1533-position model. The record is from RNAcentral.
GACAGAGGGUGCAAACGUUGUUCGGAAUUACUGGGCGUAAAGCGAGUGUAGGCGGUUAGGUAAGUCGGAUGUGAAAGCCCCGGGCUCAACCCGGGAAGUGCAUUCGAUACUGCCAAGCUAGAGUAUCGGAGAGGUUGGUGGAAUUCUCGGUGUAGAGGUGAAAUUCGUAGAUAUCGAGAGGAACACCAGUGGCGAAGGCGAGUCUCUGGACAUUUCCUGACGCUGAGGCACGAAAGCCAGGGGAGCAAACGGG